RNAcentral lists this ribosomal RNA (468 nucleotides) under uncultured bacterium. Its description in RNAcentral is "partial 16S ribosomal RNA". It matches the Rfam family "Bacterial small subunit ribosomal RNA", at positions 28 to 507 of the family's 1533-position model. The record is from RNAcentral.
GACGAACGCUGGCGGCGUGCUUAACACAUGCAAGUCGAACGGAAAGGCCCUGCUUUUGUGGGGUGCUCGAGUGGCGAACGGGUGAGUAACACGUGAGUAACCUGCCCUUGACUUUGGGAUAACUUCAGGAAACUGGGGCUAAUACCGGAUAGGAGCUCCUGCUGCAUGGUGGGGGUUGGAAAGUUUCGGCGGUUGGGGAUGGACUCGCGGCUUAUCAGCUUGUUGGUGGGGUAGUGGCUUACCAAGGCUUUGACGGGUAGCCGGCCUGUGAGGGUGACCGGCCACAUUGGGCCUGAGAUACGGCCCAGAGUCCUACGGGAGGCAGCAGUGGGGAAUAUUGCACAAUGGGCGGAAGCCUGAUGAAGCAACGCCGCGUGCGGGAUGACGGCCUUCGGGUUGUAAACCGCUUUCGCCUGUGACGAAGCGUGAGUGACGGUAAUGGGUAAAGAAGCACCGGCUAACUACGUG